RNAcentral lists this ribosomal RNA (218 nucleotides) under uncultured bacterium. Its description in RNAcentral is "partial 16S ribosomal RNA". It matches the Rfam family "Bacterial small subunit ribosomal RNA", at positions 57 to 305 of the family's 1533-position model. The record is from RNAcentral.
GCAAGUCGAGCGCACCUUCGGGUGAGCUGCGGACAGGUUAGUAACGCGUGGGGAGUUACUCUUUUGUACGGAAUAGCCAUUGGAAACGAUGAGUAAUACCGUAUACGCCCUUCGAGGUAAAGAUUUAUCGGACAAGGAUCGGCCCGCGUUAGAUUAGAUAGUUGGUGGGGUAAUGGCCUACCAAGGCUACGAUCUAUAGCUGGUUUGAGAGGAUGAGC